CCUACGGGGGCAGCAGUGAGGAAUAUUGGUCAAUGGGCUUACGCCUGAACCAGCCAAGUCGCGUGAGGGAAGACUGCCCUAUGGGUUGUAAACCUCUUUUGUCAGGGAGCAAUUGGCGCUACGUGUAGCGUUAUCGAGAGUACCUGACGAAAAAGCAUCGGCUAACUCCGUGCCAGCAGCCGCGGUAAUACGGAGGAUGCGAGCGUUAUCCGGAUUUGUUGGGUUUAAAGGGUGCGUAGGCGGAAUGCCAAGUCAGCGGGAAAAUCGCGGGGCUCAACCCCGCUCCGCCGUUGAAACUGGCGUUCUUGAGUGGGCGAGAAGUAUGCGGAAUGCGUGGUGUAGCAGUGAAAUGCAUAGAUAUCACGCAGAACUCCGAUUGCGAAGGCAGCAUACCGGCGCCCAACUGACGCUGAAGCACGAAAGCGUGGGUAUCGAACAGGAUUAGAUACCCCUGUAGUC
Molecule: ribosomal RNA, 459 nt
Filed under: uncultured bacterium
Lineage: Bacteria
Description: partial 16S ribosomal RNA
Rfam family: Bacterial small subunit ribosomal RNA
Source: RNAcentral